Molecule: ribosomal RNA, 443 nt
Filed under: uncultured bacterium
Lineage: Bacteria
Description: partial 16S ribosomal RNA
Rfam family: Bacterial small subunit ribosomal RNA
Source: RNAcentral
CCUACGGGUGGCAGCAGUGGGGAAUAUUGGGCAAUGGGCGCAAGCCUGACCCAGCAACGCCGCGUGAAGGAAGAAGGCUCUCGGGUUGUAAACUUCUUUUGUCAGGGACGCAGCAAGCGACGGUACCUGACGAAUAAGCCACGGCUAACUACGUGCCAGCAGCUGCGGGAAUACGUAGGUGGCAAGCGUUAUCCGGGUUUACUGGGUGUAACGGGCGUGUAGGCGGGGAAGCAAGGCAGAUGUGAAAACCACGGGCUCAAACUGUGGCCUGCAGUUGAAACUGUUUUUCUUGAGUGCGGGAGAGGCAAGCGGAAUGCGGUGUGUAGCGGUGAAAUGCAUAGAUAUACGGAGGAACACCAGUGGCGAAGGCAGAUUGCUGGGCUUUUACUGACGCUGAGGCUCGAAAGUGUGGGGAGCGAACAGGAUUAGAUACCCGGGUAGUC